GACGAACGCUGGCGGCGUGCUUAACACAUGCAAGUCGAGCGGUAAGGCCCCUUCGGGGGUACACGAGCGGCGAACGGGUGAGUAACACGUGGGUGACCUGCCCUCAGCUCUGGGAUAAGCCUGGGAAACUGGGUCUAAUACCGGAUAUGACUCCAUGACGCAUGUCGUGGGGUGGAAAGCCUUGUGCGGCUGGGGAUGGGCCCGCGGCCUAUCAGCUUGUUGGUGGGGUGAUGGCCUACCAAGGCGACGACGGGUGGCCGGCCUGAGAGGGCGACCGGCCACACUGGGACUGAGACACGGCCCAGACUCCUACGGGAGGCAGCAGUGGGGAAUCUUGCGCAAUGGGCGAAAGCCUGACGCAGCGACGCCGCGUGAGGGAUGACGGCCU
This 388-nucleotide ribosomal RNA is filed under the name uncultured bacterium. RNAcentral's name for it is "bacterial SSU rRNA". It matches the Rfam family "Bacterial small subunit ribosomal RNA", at positions 28 to 417 of the family's 1533-position model. The record is from RNAcentral.